RNAcentral lists this ribosomal RNA (130 nucleotides) under Diaporthe longicolla. RNAcentral describes it as "5.8S ribosomal RNA". It matches the Rfam family "5.8S ribosomal RNA", at positions 1 to 129 of the family's 154-position model. Rfam says of the family: 5.8S ribosomal RNA (5.8S rRNA) is a component of the large subunit of the eukaryotic ribosome. It is transcribed by RNA polymerase I as part of the 45S precursor that also contains 18S and 28S rRNA. Functionally, it is thought that 5.8S rRNA may be involved in ribosome translocation. RNAcentral also lists the same sequence under 2 other names. The record is from RNAcentral. Lineage: Eukaryota; Fungi; Ascomycota; Sordariomycetes; Diaporthales; Diaporthaceae.
AAACUUUCAACAACGGAUCUCUUGGUUCUGGCAUCGAUGAAGAACGCAGCGAAAUGCGAUAAGUAAUGUGAAUUGCAGAAUUCAGUGAAUCAUCGAAUCUUUGAACGCACAUUGCGCCCCCUGGUAUUCC